Molecule: transfer RNA, 55 nt
Filed under: Synchonnus chilvertonensis
Lineage: Eukaryota; Metazoa; Arthropoda; Insecta; Coleoptera; Lycidae
Description: partial tRNA-Ser
Source: RNAcentral
AAAGAAAUAUACUUAAAAAAAGCUUCUAACUUUUUAAUCAGCAUUAACCUGUUGA